GACGAACGCUGGCGGCGUGCUUAACACAUGCAAGUCGAACGGAAAGGCCCUGCUUUUGUGGGGUGCUCGAGUGGCGAACGGGUGAGUAACACGUGAGUAACCUGCCCUUGACUUUGGGAUAACUUCAGGAAACUGGGGCUAAUACCGGACAGGAGCUCCUGCUGCAUGGUGGGGGUUGGAAAGUUUCGGCGGGAGGGGAUGGACGGGCGGCUUAUCAGCUUGUUGGUGGGGUAGUGGCUUACCAAGGCUUUGACGGGUAGCCGGCAUGAGAGGGUGACCGGCCACAAUGGGACUGGGAUACGGCCCAGACUCCUACAGGGGGCAGCAGUGGGGAAUAUUACACAGUGGGCGCAAGCCUGAUGCAGCAACGCCGCGUGCGGAAUGACGGCCUUCGGGUUGUAAACCGCUUUCGCCUGUGACGAAGCGUGAGUGACGGUACUGGGUAAAGAAGCACCGGCUAACUACGUG
Molecule: ribosomal RNA, 468 nt
Filed under: uncultured bacterium
Lineage: Bacteria
Description: partial 16S ribosomal RNA
Rfam family: Bacterial small subunit ribosomal RNA
Source: RNAcentral